GCUUGUCUCAAAGAUUAAGCCAUGCAUGUCUCAGUAUAAGUUCCUGUACGGCGAAACUGCGAAUGGCUCAUUAAAACAGUUAUAGUUUAUUUGAUGGUCGUUCCUUACAUGGAUAACUGUGGUAAUUCUAGAGCUAAUACAUGCACCCAUGCCCGACUUUGUGGAAGGGUUGUGUUUAUUAGUUACAGAACCAACCCAGGCUCUGCCUGGUCUUGUGGUGAUUCAUAAUAACCGAACGAAUCGUAUGGCAUCAGCUGGCGAUGAAUCAUUCAAGUUUCUGACCUAUCAGCUUCCGACGGUAGUGUAUUGGACUACCAUGGCAGUAACGGGUAACGAAGAAUUAGGGUUCGAUUUCGGAGAGGGAGCAUGAGAAACGGCUACCACAUCUAAGGAAGGCAGCAGG
RNAcentral lists this ribosomal RNA (403 nucleotides) under Azadinium dalianense. Its description in RNAcentral is "partial small subunit ribosomal RNA". It matches the Rfam family "Eukaryotic small subunit ribosomal RNA", at positions 30 to 432 of the family's 1831-position model. Lineage: Eukaryota; Dinophyceae; Gonyaulacales; Amphidomataceae. The record is from RNAcentral.